UACGUAGGGGGCAAGCGUUGUCCGGAAUCACUGGGCGUAAAGGGCGCGUAGGCGGCGCAACAAGUCACUUGUGAAAUCUCCGGGCUUAACUCGGAGCGGUCAAGUGAUACUGUCGUGCUAGAGUGCAGAAGGGGCAACUGGAAUUCUCGGUGUAGCGGUGAAAUGCGUAGAUAUCGAGAGGAACACCUGCGGCGAAGGCGGGUUGCUGGGCUGACACUGACGCUGAGGCGCGAAAGCGUGGGGAGCAAACAGG
This 253-nucleotide ribosomal RNA is filed under the name uncultured bacterium. Its description in RNAcentral is "partial 16S ribosomal RNA". It matches the Rfam family "Bacterial small subunit ribosomal RNA", at positions 524 to 776 of the family's 1533-position model. The record is from RNAcentral.